ACGAAAGAAAAGUUACGGAAGUAGUAAGUGGUGAUGGAGAGAGAGAGUGAAUAUUUCUGCAAGCGCAACAAAUGUCGAAGUGAGAUUUAAAGUUAUGCGUCCAUUUUGGGGCGACGUUAUGAAGUACGACCGUUUUACAAAUACCUGGUCGAAACCGUAUACACCUCAUAUCUUCCGAUACGAGAAAGCCACUGGUCGCACAUUUACUCUUAAUGGUAAUCUUUGGUGGGAAGCAGUUAUGAGAGUAACUGAUGAAUACCACGAGGAAACAAAUGAAAUGGGCGAAGUUUAGAAAGAUAUCGCCAGCGGAAGCAAUGAUUGGGAAACGUUCUGUUAACAUAGAACAAAUAAGUGAUUACUGAAGUAAGUGAUAAUUGACCUCACCUGACAUUGAGUAUAACUGUAAAUACAACGUAUAAAUCAUCAUUAUUCAAAUGAUGUAGACAGCAAUGACUCUCACAUAAUGAUUUUUAACAAAAUAGUUUUCUUUGGACAAUUAUCUUAUACAAGUAUUCUUUUGUGUAUAAUGUAAUCAUUAAAUAGGAAUUUUUGAUUGCUCUUCGAAAUUCUAAUUUUUUAUUAUUCUUAGAAAUUGUAAUUUUUGAUUGUUCUUAGAAAUCAUAUGUUAAGGAUAUUUUACAGAAAAGCAAAAGUUGGGAAAAUUGUA
This is a long non-coding RNA of Xenia sp. Carnegie-2017, 667 nucleotides long. RefSeq lists it as uncharacterized. The record is from RefSeq and is a predicted model, not a curated record. Lineage: Eukaryota; Metazoa; Cnidaria; Anthozoa; Malacalcyonacea; Xeniidae. The transcript is spliced from 2 exons.